Molecule: long non-coding RNA, 444 nt
Organism: Bufo bufo (common toad)
Lineage: Eukaryota; Metazoa; Chordata; Amphibia; Anura; Bufonidae
Exons: 2
Source: RefSeq, a predicted model, not a curated record
CAACACUGUAAAACUCCUGACAUGUGAUCGCUGCCGGAGAUGCAAGGUUACUUAUAUAUAGCAGCACUAGGUGUUGGACUAUUUCUGAGACGUGCAACUGCACAUCAAACGCAAGACAGAUGCUCCCGAUCUGCAGAAUACAGAAGACAUAUGGAAACAUACAUUUUGUGUUUUUUUGCGGCACGCUGAAGAUUUUGCAGAACAACUGAUGGGAUCCUAUGGUUGCUUGUUAUACUCCCAGGUUCUAAGAACAAAUGUAUAUUUAAGUAUUCCCAAAAUGAAGGGAUACUUGGCUAUGACUUAAUACGGAUUUGGAGAAGUCUGCCUUCUUUCUAGAACCAGCAUCACUCUUUUGUUUUAAUAUUUUUUAUGAAAUUUCCAAUAUAUGCAAUCUAUAACUUAAUUGAUUUCAUCAUCAACAUUAAUACAAAAGCCUUGCCAGUC